GAUGAACGCUAGCGGCAGGCCUAAUACAUGCCAGCCGAACGGCAAGUUUGAUAUCAAUAUUUGACCUAAGGUGGCGCAAGGGUGCGUAACACGUCUUCAACCUGCCCGCGCCAGGAGGAUAGCUCCCCUAAAGGGGAAUUAACCCUCCAUAACACCAUGAAGAGGCAUCUGAUUCUGGUUAAACCGCCACUGGUCCCGGAUGGGCAUGCGGUUGAUUAGUUAGUUGGCGGGGUAAAGGCCCACCAAGGCGGUCAUCAAUAGGGGUUCUGCGAGGAAGGUCCUCCAGACUGGCACUGAGAUACGGGCCAGACUCCUACGGGAGGCAGCAGUAGGGAAUAUUGGACAAUGGUUGCAAGACUGAUCCAGCCAUGCCGCGUGGAGGAAGAAGGCCUUCUGGGUCGUAAACUGCUUUGUCCUGUGGAUAAAAUACCCGUGCGCGGGGAAUUGAAGGUAACAGGGGAAUAAGCGACGGCUAACUACGUG
This 483-nucleotide ribosomal RNA is filed under the name uncultured bacterium. RNAcentral describes it as "partial 16S ribosomal RNA". It matches the Rfam family "Bacterial small subunit ribosomal RNA", at positions 28 to 507 of the family's 1533-position model. The record is from RNAcentral.